UCUUGCCUGCCCAGUGACUGUAAGUUAAACGGCCGCGGUAUUUUGACCGUGCAAAGGUAGCGCAAUCACUUGUCUUUUAAAUGAAGACCUGUAUGAAUGGUGGAACGAGGGCUUAACUGUCUCCCUCAUCUAGUCAAUGAAAUUGAUCUACCCGUGCAGAAGCGGGUAUAAAAAUACAAGACGAGAAGACCCUUUGGAGCUUAAGACAAAAGACCAACUAUGUCAAAAAUACUAAAAAUGAAAAUAAACCAAAUAAUACUGGUCCCAGUCUUCGGUUGGGGCGACCGCGGGAGAAAAUAAAGCUCCCAUGUGGACAGGGGAAAACCCCUAAAACUAAGAGAGACAUCUCUAAGACACAGAACAUCUGACCAUAAAGACCCAGCUAUAUGCUGACCAACGGACCAAGUUACCCUAGGGAUAACAGCGCAAUCCUCUUCCAGAGUCCAUAUCGACAAGAGGGUUUACGACCUCGAUGUUGGAUCAGGACAUCCUAAUGGUGCAGCCG
RNAcentral lists this ribosomal RNA (505 nucleotides) under Neoplecostomus microps. RNAcentral's name for it is "partial 16S ribosomal RNA". It matches the Rfam family "Bacterial large subunit ribosomal RNA", at positions 1853 to 2561 of the family's 2925-position model. Lineage: Eukaryota; Metazoa; Chordata; Actinopteri; Siluriformes; Loricariidae. The record is from RNAcentral.